UUGAAGGCCAAGUAGCGUGGGUUAUCAUAUCCGAACUGCGAGACAUGAAUCUCAAUCCAUCAAUAAGCGCUGCAUUUUGAUAAAAAAUACCCCUGCUGCGGCUGGCCUUAAUGGAUGGUGUGCCGUUGAAUGCGUCACUUUUACUCUUCCCCUGAAAUACCAGAGAGAGAAUGGGUCUCACUACACAAAGAGAUCUGGAUCAAGUGAUGACUCAUCUGUCUCCUCCCACUUGAGAAGAAGGAGAACACCUAUGCCAGUUGGAUGAAGGGUCGGAUGGAGGAGGUGGCCUGGGCCCCACUUAAAAUAUUGAGGGGCCACCCAGAAAUCCCCAAGAAAUGAUUUAGACUGUGUUGAAAAAAUAGACCGUAUAAAUAAUGGACGUAGUAUCUGUGAUGUCACCCAUCUGUUCCUGAAUGCUGUUUUGAAUUCAAUCGUCGGCGGGAGCCAUAUUGGU
Molecule: long non-coding RNA, 454 nt
Organism: Notolabrus celidotus (New Zealand spotty)
Lineage: Eukaryota; Metazoa; Chordata; Actinopteri; Labriformes; Labridae
Exons: 3
Source: RefSeq, a predicted model, not a curated record